Molecule: ribosomal RNA, 492 nt
Filed under: uncultured bacterium
Lineage: Bacteria
Description: partial 16S ribosomal RNA
Rfam family: Bacterial small subunit ribosomal RNA
Source: RNAcentral
AGUGAACGCUGGCGGUAGGCCUAACACAUGCAAGUCGAACGGCAGCACAGUAAGAGCUUGCUCUUACGGGUGGCGAGUGGCGGACGGGUGAGGAAUACAUCGGAAUCUACUUUUUCGUGGGGGAUAACGUAGGGAAACUUACGCUAAUACCGCAUACGACCUACGGGUGAAAGCAGGGGAUCUUCGGACCUUGCGCGAUUGAAUGCGCCGAUGUCGGAUUAGCUAGUUGGCGGGGUAAAGGCCCACCAAGGCGACGAUCCGUAGCUGGUCUGAGAGGAUGAUCAGCCACACUAGAACUGGGACACGGUCCAGACUCCUACGGGAGGCAGCAGUGUGGAAUAUUGGACAAUGGGCGCAAGCCUGAUCCAGCCAUACCGCGUGGGUGAAGAAGGCCUUCGGGUUGUAAAGCCCUUUUGUUGGGAAAGAAAAGCAGCAGGUUAAUACCCCGCUGUUCUGACGGUACCCAAAGAAUAAGCACCGGCUAACUUCGUG